AGUGAACGCUGGCGGUAGGCCUAACACAUGCAAGUCGAACGGCAGCACAGUAAGAGCUUGCUCUUACGGGUGGCGAGUGGCGGACGGGUGAGGAAUACAUCGGAAUCUACUUUUUCGUGGGGGAUAACGUAGGGAAACUUACGCUAAUACCGCAUACGACCUACGGGUUAAAGCAGGGGAUCUUCGGACCUUGCGCGAUUGAAUUAGCCGAUGUCGGAUUAGCUAGUUGGCGGGGUAAAGGCCCACCAAGGCGACGAUCCGUAGCUGGUCUGAGAGGAUGAUCAGCCGCACUGGAACGGAGACACGGUCCAGACUCCUACGGGAGGCAGCAGUGGGGAAUAUUGGAGAAUGGGCGGAAGCAUGAUGCAGCCAUACCGCGUGGGUGAAGAAGGCCUUCGGGUUGUAAAGCCCUUUUUUUGGGAAAGAAAAGCAGCAGGUUAAUACCGCGCUGUUCUGACGGUACCGAAAGAAUAAGCACCGGCUAACUACGUG
RNAcentral lists this ribosomal RNA (492 nucleotides) under uncultured bacterium. Its description in RNAcentral is "partial 16S ribosomal RNA". It matches the Rfam family "Bacterial small subunit ribosomal RNA", at positions 29 to 507 of the family's 1533-position model. The record is from RNAcentral.